This 248-nucleotide ribosomal RNA is filed under the name uncultured bacterium. RNAcentral describes it as "partial 16S ribosomal RNA". It matches the Rfam family "Bacterial small subunit ribosomal RNA", at positions 526 to 779 of the family's 1533-position model. The record is from RNAcentral.
CGUAGGUGCAAGCGUUAAUCGGAAUUACUGGCGUAAAGCGUGCGCAGGCGGUUUGUAAGUCUGUCGUGAAAUCCCCGGGCUCAACCUGGGAAUUGCGAUGGAGACUGCAAGGCUAGAAUCUGGCAGAGGGGUAGAAUUCCACGUGUAGCAGUGAAAUGCGUAGAGAUGUGGAGGAACACCGAUGGCGAAGGCAGCCCCCUGGGUCAAGAUUGACGCUCAUGCACGAAAGCGUGGGAGCAAACAGGAUU